Molecule: ribosomal RNA, 829 nt
Filed under: uncultured Bacteroidota bacterium
Lineage: Bacteria; Pseudomonadati; Bacteroidota
Description: bacterial SSU rRNA
Rfam family: Bacterial small subunit ribosomal RNA
Source: RNAcentral
AGUCGAGGGGUAUAGGCUUUCGGGCCUAGAGACCGGCGCACGGGUGCGUAACGCGUAUGCAAUCUACCUUUCACAGAGGGAUAGCCCAGAGAAAUUUGGAUUAAUACCUCAUGGUAUAUAGGAGUGGCAUCACUUUUAUAUUAAAGUCACAACGGUGAAAGAUGAGCAUGCGUCCCAUUAGCUAGUUGGUAAGGUAACGGCUUACCAAGGCGACGAUGGGUAGGGGUCCUGAGAGGGAGAUCCCCCACACUGGUACUGAGACACGGACCAGACUCCUACGGGAGGCAGCAGUGAGGAAUAUUGGUCAAUGGGCGCAAGCCUGAACCAGCCAUGCCGCGUGCAGGAUGAAGCAUCUAUGGUGUGUAAACUGCUUUUGUACGGGAAGAAACAGAGGUUCGUGAACCUCCUUGACGGUACCGUAAGAAUAAGGAUCGGCUAACUCCGUGCCAGCAGCCGCGGUAAUACGGAGGAUCCAAGCGUUAUCCGGAAUCAUUGGGUUUAAAGGGUCCGUAGGCGGUUUAGUAAGUCAGUGGUGAAAGCCCAUCGCUCAACGGUGGGACGGCCAUUGAUACUGCUAGACUUGAAUUAUUAGGAAGUAACUAGAAUAUGUAGUGUAGCGGUGAAAUGCUUAGAUAUUACAUGGAAUACCAAUUGCGAAGGCAGGUUACUACUAAUGGAUUGACGCUGAUGGACGAAAGCGUGGGUAGCGAACAGGAUUAGAUACCCUGGUAGUCCACGCCGUAAACGAUGGAUACUAGCUGUUCGGAGCAAUCUGAGUGGCUAAGCGAAAGUGAUAAGUAUCCCACCUGGGGAGUACGGGCGCAAGCCU